UACGUAGGGGGCAAGCGUUGUCCGGAUUUAUUGGGCGUAAAGAGCGUGUAGGCGGCCAGGUAGGUCCGUUGUGAAAACUCGAGGCUCAACCUCGAGACGCCGAUGGAAACCAUCUGGCUAGAGUCCGGAAGAGGAGAGUGGAAUUCCCGGUGUAGCGGUGAAAUGCGCAGAUAUCGGGAAGAACACCCGUGGCUAAGGCGGCUCUCUAGUACGGUACUGACGCUGAGGCGCGAAAGCUAGGGGAGCAAACGGG
This 253-nucleotide ribosomal RNA is filed under the name uncultured bacterium. RNAcentral's name for it is "partial 16S ribosomal RNA". It matches the Rfam family "Bacterial small subunit ribosomal RNA", at positions 524 to 776 of the family's 1533-position model. The record is from RNAcentral.